This 301-nucleotide ribosomal RNA is filed under the name uncultured bacterium. Its description in RNAcentral is "partial 16S ribosomal RNA". It matches the Rfam family "Bacterial small subunit ribosomal RNA", at positions 509 to 808 of the family's 1533-position model. The record is from RNAcentral.
CAGCAGCCGCGGGAAUACGUAGGUGGCAAGCGUUGUCCGGAAUUAUUGGGCGUAAAGGGCUCGCAGGCGGUUUCUUAAGUCUGAUGUGAAAGCCCCCGGCUCAACCGGGGAGGGUCAUUGGAAACUGGGAAACUUGAGUGCAGAAGAGGAGAGUGGAAUUCCACGUGUAGCGGUGAAAUGCGUAGAGAUGUGGAGGAACACCAGUGGCGAAGGCGACUCUCUGGCCUGUAACUGACGCUGAGGAGCGAAAGCGUGGGGAGCGAACAGGAUUAGAUACCCCGGUAGUCCCUGUCUCUUAACC